RNAcentral lists this long non-coding RNA (2538 nucleotides) under Mus musculus (house mouse). RNAcentral describes it as "long non-coding RNA chr12:31654865-31657403". Lineage: Eukaryota; Metazoa; Chordata; Mammalia; Rodentia; Muridae. The record is from RNAcentral.
GUCAUCAACCCGGCACUUGCCAACAUGGAAGGUGGAGACAGCACAAUUUCCGUAGCAGGCCGUGGGGCUUCGGGUUCCGCAGUAGUGGCGGCGACCGUGCAGGCGAUCCUGCAGGACGGUAAGGCGUCGGACGGUGGCCCGGCCUGGGUCGCCCUGCCUUGCGCAGAGUCCGAGAAUCCUACCGGUCACUUUGCACAAAGUUUUCCUGUCUGGACUUGGCCACUCCCCUCCGCCCGGCCCCCUGGCGUCCGGGAUUGUCCUGGUCCCCCAGUUUCACGGGGAACGUGUUCCUCUCUUCCCGUGGGUGUCUUGGGGAAAACACCUGGUGUCUAGUUGCUGGGGUUUGCACUGGAUCAUGAUGCGCCCGGGACAUCGCUGUAGUUCCUGCACGACGUGGUCGGGGCUGAUAGCCGCUACUGCUGCUCAGUUCCUGACCAAGGAUUGCACUGUCCGUGCCCAGAAGUGUGAACUCACCCUAGGUGACAGACCGCUCGCUGCUUAAGGAAAGGGAUGGAGGAUGCAAAAUGUGGAGUUGGAAAUUUCCGUGUUCAGUUCUUGGGCUAUGCAGGUGCCUCUGUUAUCCAUACAUGUCGAGUACUGAAGUCAGGAUUACUGGUAGUUUGAAGAGAAAUUAUCCCAAGUAAAUUAACUAUAUACCUUUCUAUAGUAUAGUACGCUUGAAAGUCAAGUUCGGUUGUAUUAAUGCUCAAUCUGAGAGACAGAACAAAAUUCAGUUUGCUAAAGGUAUUAGGCCUUAAUCAUCCCAUCUUUUCUCUAGUUGACACUAAGUUCUUUCAUCUAUUAAAAGCGUUUGCAUUUAUCACCUUAAUUGCUUCCGAGGCCCUUGCGCCUCCUCCUCCCCAAUCCCCUUCCCCCUUGUUUUUGAGACAGGGUUACUCUAUGAAACCCUGACUGUUUUGGAACUCCCUGUAGAUCAGUCAGUCUAGCCUUGAACUCACAGAGAUACACCUGCUUCUGUCUACCACCUGCUGGGAUCAAAGGCUACCAAGCCAAGCAUAGGAACCUCUUUUUAUAUUCCACAGAGUUAAAAGCAGUAUUCUGCAUACAGUAGGAACAGAUUUUUUUUUUUAAUUUUCCACAUAAGAGUGGCUUAAAGGAUCAAACUGAAAUUUAAAUUAUGGUGUUUUCCCUGAUUGUUGAAUAUUUUAUAUCUUUUUAAUAGAUAUUUUAUAUCUUGUCAAGACUAGUGAUGUUUUUCAGAGUUAGGUUGUGGUAUAUUCUUAGAGUUUCUGCCUGAUGCACCUCAUCUUUGUGUCUUAAUUGAAAUUUAAAUUUAACCAAGUUUCAAAAUCCUGAAACGAGUGUGUGUGUGUGUGUGUGUUUAAUAGCUGUCCAGCCUUUGAGCUUAAACUGAACUUAAAACUAUGCUUGCUUUUUUCCUUCUGUGGUUUCAAAUACAAUUAAGUAAAGUCUCAGCAAUUAAAUAAAGCCCUUUGUUUUAAGGACAUUCCCUUCCUUUGUGCUGUGGAGUUUAUUCCUGUCUAGAAUCCAAACACUCCCAUUCUAUAAUGUUAAAAUCACUUUGCAGAGGUCCUCAUUGGUUCCUUGGAAGUAAGUCAGAUGGGCACUUCUGCUUCUUAUCCUAUUUAAACUUGUAAAAGCUUGGCUCUUUCCUUGAAGUAAUUUGUUAUAUGAUAUAAGGAUCCCACACUAUUUGUUUAUUUUUCAAGACAGGGUUUCUCUGUUGUAGCUCUGGCUGUCCUGGAAUUUAAUUCGUAGACUAGGCUGGUCUAGAACUCAGAGAUUCACCUGCCUCUGCCUUCCAAGUGCUGGGAUUCAGGACCUGUGCCACCACUGCCCUUGUAUAUAUGUAUGUAUGUAUGUAUGUAUGUAUGUAUGUAUGUAUAUAUGUAUUUAUUUAAUUUCCUAAAUUCCUUUCCAGUUUCCCCAAAUGUACCUGAAAAUUUGAUCAUUUUGUUCAGUAACCAAUUCACUGUCUUUAGAAUUUGCCUAAAGAUAGGGUUGAUAGGCUCAGUGAACAGGUGCAGAGUUGGAAAAUUUGUGAGCAGCUUCUGAUUUUUCACUGAUAAGAAUACCACAAAAGAGAUAACUUAUGUGAUUUAUUCUGGAAUAUCAACCACUGAAUAAUCUGCUAGCUGUGUUCAUCUUUUACUGUCGCGUCUAUGGGAGAUUGUACUCACCAUUUCCUUUACACAGUUAGCUCUUUUGAUUUAGUCAUUCUUUCCAGUUUCUUUUUCUCUAAGCAUUCUUCAGGAGUUUCUUUACCCAACUCCCCAGGUUCUGGUGUCUUCCUGGGUUCUCAGACCUAUGUUGUCCACUUUCUAAGUCAUAUAAUCACUGUGUUGGUCAUUGACACACAGUAGAGUAAGCUGGGAUGUGAGAACCUCAUGAGGAAUCGCUUCCAUCUUACUGGCCUAUCUACACAUGGGACAUUUUCUUUAUUUUUUUCUUAUAACUUUUUUUAUUCUUUCUGAAUUUCACAUCAUGUACCCCAAUCCCAAUCAUUUCCAUGUUUCUUUGUAUCUGCCUUUCACCCUUAUAGUCUCCUCUCUAAGG